This 189-nucleotide unclassified non-coding RNA is filed under the name uncultured Russula. RNAcentral's name for it is "sequence contains ITS1". The record is from RNAcentral. Lineage: Eukaryota; Fungi; Basidiomycota; Agaricomycetes; Russulales; Russulaceae.
UCGUACAACCGAGGUGCAAGGGCUGUCGCUGACCUUUGAAGGUCGUGCACGCCCGAGCGCUCUCGCCACAAUCCAUCUCACCCCUUUGUGCAUCACCGCGUGGGUCCCCCUUUGCGGGGAGGGCUCGCGUUUUCACACAAACUUGAUACAGUGUAGAAUGUCUUCCUUUGCGAUCACACGCAAUUAAUA